RNAcentral lists this ribosomal RNA (253 nucleotides) under uncultured bacterium. RNAcentral describes it as "partial 16S ribosomal RNA". It matches the Rfam family "Bacterial small subunit ribosomal RNA", at positions 524 to 776 of the family's 1533-position model. The record is from RNAcentral.
UACGGAGGGUCCAAGCGUUAUCCGGAAUCAUUGGGUUUAAAGGGUCCGUAGGCGGUUUUGUAAGUCAGUGGUGAAAGCCCAUCGCUCAACGGUGGAACGGCCAUUGAUACUGCAAGACUUGAAUUAUUGGGAAGUAACUAGAAUAUGUAGUGUAGCGGUGAAAUGCUUAGAGAUUACAUGGAAUACCAAUUGCGAAGGCAGGUUACUACCAAUAUAUUGACGCUGAUGGACGAAAGCGCGGGGAGCGAACAGG